UGAGUUUGAUCAUGGCUCAGGAUGAACGCCGGCGGUGUGCCUAAUACAUGCAAGUCGUACGCACUGGCCCAACUGAUUAAUGGUGCUUGCACCUGAUUGACGAUGGAUCACCAGUGAGUGGCGGACGGGUGAGUAACACGUAGGUAACCUGCCCCGGAGCGGGGGAUAACAUUUGGAAACAGAUGCUAAUACCGCAUAACAACAAAAGCCACAUGGCUUUUGUUUGAAAGAUGGCUUUGGCUAUCACUCUGGGAUGGACCUGCGGUGCAUUAGCUAGUUGGUAAGGUAACGGCUUACCAAGGCGAUGAUGCAUAGCCGAGUUGAGAGACUGAUCGGCCACAAUGGAACUGAGACACGGUCCAUACUCCUACGGGAGGCAGCAGUAGGGAAUCUUCCACAAUGGGCGCAAGCCUGAUGGAGCAACACCGCGUGAGUGAAGAAGGGUUUCGGCUCGUAAAGCUCUGUUGUUGGAGAAGAACGUGCGUGAGAGUAACUGUUCACGCAGUGACGGUAUCCAACCAGAAAGUCACGGCUAACUACGUGCCAGCAGCCGCGGUAAUACGUAGGUGGCAAGCGUUAUCCGGAUUUAUUGGGCGUAAAGCGAGCGCAGGCGGUUGCUUAGGUCUGAUGUGAAAGCCUUCGGCUUAACCGAAGAAGUGCAUCGGAAACCGGGCGACUUGAGUGCAGAAGAGGACAGUGGAACUCCAUGUGUAGCGGUGGAAUGCGUAGAUAUAUGGAAGAACACCAGUGGCGAAGGCGGCUGUCUGGUCUGCAACUGACGCUGAGGCUCGAAAGCAUGGGUAGCGAACAGGAUUAGAUACCCUGGUAGUCCAUGCCGUAAACGAUGAGUGCUAGGUGUUGGAGGGUUUCCGCCCUUCAGUGCCGGAGCUAACGCAUUAAGCACA
Molecule: ribosomal RNA, 905 nt
Filed under: uncultured bacterium
Lineage: Bacteria
Description: bacterial SSU rRNA
Rfam family: Bacterial small subunit ribosomal RNA
Source: RNAcentral